GNAGGGGGCAAGCGUUAUCCGGAUNUACUGGGUGUAAAGGGAGCGUAGACGGAUGGACACGUCUGAUGUGUAAGGCUGGGGCUCAACCCCGGGACUGCAUUGGAAACUGCCCGUCUUGAGUGCCGGAGAGGUAAGCGGAAUUCCUAGUGUAGCGGUGAAAUGCGUAGAUAUUAGGAGGAACACCAGUGGCGAAGGCGGCUUACUGGACGGUAACUGACGUUGAGGCUCGAAAGCGUGGGGAGCAAACAGGAUUAGAUACCCUGGUAGUCCGCACGGUAAACGAUGGAUGCCCGCUGUUGGUCUGAACAGGUCAGCGGCCAAGCGAAAGCAUUAAGCAUCCCACCUGGGGAGU
This 352-nucleotide ribosomal RNA is filed under the name uncultured bacterium. RNAcentral's name for it is "bacterial SSU rRNA". It matches the Rfam family "Bacterial small subunit ribosomal RNA", at positions 527 to 881 of the family's 1533-position model. The record is from RNAcentral.